UACGGAGGGUGCGAGCGUUAUUCGGAAUUACUGGGCGUAAAGCGCGUGUAGGCGGCAGGGCAAGUCUGGUGUGAAAGCCCGGGGCUCAACCCCGGAAGUGCAUUGGAAACUGCUCUGCUUGAGUACCGGAGAGGAAGGGGGAAUUCCCGGUGUAGCAGUGAAAUGCGUAGAUAUCGGGAGGAAUACCAGUGGCGAAGGCGACCUUCUGGACGGUUACUGACGCUGAGACGCGAAAGCGUGGGGAGCAAACAGG
Molecule: ribosomal RNA, 253 nt
Filed under: uncultured microorganism
Description: partial 16S ribosomal RNA
Rfam family: Bacterial small subunit ribosomal RNA
Source: RNAcentral